RNAcentral lists this ribosomal RNA (522 nucleotides) under Acanthomenexenus polyacanthus. RNAcentral's name for it is "partial 28S large subunit ribosomal RNA". The record is from RNAcentral. Lineage: Eukaryota; Metazoa; Arthropoda; Insecta; Phasmatodea; Lonchodidae.
GUACGUGAAACCGUUCAGGGGUAAACGGGAGAAAUCCUGAAUUCGAAUGGGGUGGCGGAUUCAAACCUUUCCGAUCGUGAAAUCAGGCUGCCUUCCCCCAGAUGGUGCCGGUUGCCCGCUGCGAUUAACUUCGUUUGCGGUGUCAUUCCCGGCGAUCACUCGGAGGGUUGGUGGUUCCCUGGCGACGGAGGAGUGCACUUCCCCCCUAGUAGAAACGUCGCGACCCGUUGGGUGCCGGUCUAAGGCCCGGGAUGGCAGACCAUGUGUCCUGAGGGGGCUCCCACAGGCGCGUGGACUCCUGGUGACCCGGCUGGCUGCCCGACGGUAUGAUCAGAGGAGUCGAUCCGCUAAAUGGGAAUCACUGUGGUUGUGAAGCGUCCGGCCUGGUGCCGAUGCGUGCGGGGAUUGAGGUGUAAACCGGGGGUGACCGUGCGAAGCAUGGCCCCGGCCCUGCUGCGUACUCGGUGCUGGUGUCCUCGGACUGGAUCUGUUCUCCCGUCUGCGACGCACACCUUCGGAUGG